This 1848-nucleotide long non-coding RNA is filed under the name Carica papaya (papaya). Its description in RNAcentral is "long non-coding RNA (CPAP_LNC007517)". The record is from RNAcentral. Lineage: Eukaryota; Viridiplantae; Streptophyta; Magnoliopsida; Brassicales; Caricaceae.
UUGCAUGUUUACUUAGAAUGCCCAAAUAGACGCUAAAAGAAUGUUCGAAACUAAAACGAAAAUAACACUACAAAGUACUCAAUAACUUUGAUUUGCGAUUGGCAAAGUGGAAAGAGAUGAUUGCUUAGCUAGUCUCUUAUUGUUCCAGGUCCAAAUUUUGGUUGUUUUGAUCUGAAAUGAUUAAUAAGAAGCGGGUGAGAUACGUUAACUCAGUAAGAACACUAAAAACCUUAUCAUCGACACAGUAAUCAAAGAAUUAUAAAAAAAUCAUAAAACAACUGAUAAAAUAAUUUUUUACUUGAAAAUAAACCUGGUGCGAUCGCACCCUUCCUUUUAUAGAAAUAAUUUUAUUUUCCUAUGUUCUUACCAAACAACACUCAUACACAACAAUAAGGUAUAUUCAAGGACAUAGUGAGAAUAUGAUUAAUUCUUUACCGUCCUACCCAAGCUAGGAUUACUUACCAUCACCAUUUUUAUUACAUGUUGUCAUUUUAUUUUCAUUACCGGUAUCGCUGUGGGCUUAUAGGGAUCCCCGCUACACAUGGGUACACAAACAUUUCCUUUUGUAAAUCACCGAUCAUCCUCGUAUUCCAUCUGGUAAUGGGCGCCAUAACCAAGAACUGUCUCAAUACCCUGUCCGGUAUGAGCAUGAUUAAUUAACUCCCAACUCCGUCCAGUAUAGGACUUCCCAGUCUUGUGAGACUGAGGAUACAUCCACUGUAGGGUUUAUCCUAUGUAUCAAGUCUGUACAUUCUCUCCCAGGAUACCAGCAAGACCUUGAUUUAUAUUCAUGUUUACACAUGCAUUUAAUAACAUAUAAUCUUGCACUUUUCAAUGGAUUAAUGGCAUGUGAAAUUCGUACCCUACUAAAACGAGAAGCAUGUGAAUCGUACUUUGUUACUCAUCAAGGACCAAAUUAAAAUCUAGCCAAACGACGCAAGUGGAACGCAUACUCCAUGAUUGGACCAACACUACUAAUGAAAGUCAUUAUGUGACAAAUAAAUUUAAACACAAGGAAUCUACAAAGUAAAAUAAUCAUUCACAAGAUAAAUGCAAUAAAUAAAGUGAAAUUCAGCAAUUCGGUCCAUAUAAUCAAUGUGCUAAUUUUUAACAGUCACACAAAAUACAUAUAAGGACAAGAUUAAUAAACUAAAUAAGAAUAGAAAACUAAAUAAUACAUAAAUAUAGGGAAUGGAAAUAACGAUAAAAUAACUGAAAAAAAUAGGGAAUAAAUGUUCAAAAAUUAAGGAUGGGCGAAAUAAUUAGAACAAUAAAUAAGAGUUUAUUAGCUCCAUCGGCAACUUGGAAGAUUGGAUUUCACAACACGAAUUAGAUUUCAAUUUAAUCGAGUACACAUGUAUACAUACAUUCAUAAAUGUCUUUUUUAUUUUAUUUUAUUUAUUUAUUUUUUUUUUUUUGUUCAGGCUUUGAUUAAGUCGUUAGAAGGGAGGGAUUAAGGUGUUCUUACCCUUGGGACGCCGGUGACGUCAUUUCUUGCAGCCGUCGGUCGCGGUGGUACUCCUUACUCUCAGCUUCCACUGUUUCCUUCCUGUUUCCAUUCUAUUUUUUUAUUUUUUUUUAUGUGAAUGGAAAACCAAAUCGUCAGUAUAUACGGGAAGAGAAAGGGAACAAAGGAAGGAAAAUGAGCUUACUAAAAUUGGGCCGUGGCUUUCAAUUGCAGACACUUGUUUUCCCAUUCUCGACUACGAUUUUUGUCAAUCUAAGGCGAAAAUGGUUAAAAAGGGGUCGGGAAUAGAUAAAUAGGAGAAAAAAAAGAGAAAAUCAAGCUUACCAACGUCGUCCUCGGCUUCUCUCUGGCAUCCCGAUCUUCUUAUUCUCCGAUUGACC